This is a long non-coding RNA of Daphnia carinata, 2226 nucleotides long. RefSeq lists it as uncharacterized. Lineage: Eukaryota; Metazoa; Arthropoda; Branchiopoda; Diplostraca; Daphniidae. The transcript is spliced from 3 exons. The record is from RefSeq and is a predicted model, not a curated record.
AGAGAAAUGGAAUAGCAGGUAAUAGUUUUGCUACUUCAAAUAUGGCAUCUUAUUCCCAUAAGGAUGGGAAAGAUAAAGUCUAUGUUUGUUGGGGAAGAUUAGGCGCAUCCGGGUACGUUGUAGGGCCAAUCGCAUUCUAGUCAAAAUCAAAUUAAAACAUAUAAAAAUUGUUUUGAAGACUAAGAAAUUUAACUUACGGCUGAUGUUAGAGUUGAAUGCCAGGCUAGCUGGGCAGUAGUAAGUGACAAUCUUUCCGUUAACACAUCUGUAAUAUUUGCUGCAGUUGGCUGGGUCUGCAUAGAAUGUUCCUUCGCUUGUACAGGCCACUUCAAAGUAAAACAUUAUAAUGGAAAUCUAAAUCCAAAAGUCAUAUGCUCCAGGAAGUUAUUUACUAGCUUUUGUCGUCGUAAUCGGAUACGGUGUUGGGGUUGGAGCUGGCGUUGACGUAUUAAAAGGUCGUCCUUCUAACGUUGCAGUAAUGGCCUUUGAAAAUGGUCUGCAAAACAAAGCAAAUACGUUUUUUGGCACACCUAACAUCAGUUUAACUAUACCAUAACGUACCGUGGUCCCAUAUUACAGAACCCGUUAAAGUCAUCCAAGGUGAGUUCCCAGAACAUAAUGCCUCCGAGACCCUUAUUCAUAGCGUAUUUCACCUUAGUGAUAGUCAUGUCAAUGUCAUCCCAUGAAACCCAUGUUGUACCACUGUAGGCAUAAGGACCCAUUUUGCCAGUUGCAUCGGUAACCACUGUCCAUCCGCUCUGUUGAUUCAAGCACACUUCGUACAGAGAAAGGAAUCCAUCUUGUCCAGUAUACGGUCCAAGAGGACCAGCACCGAUAGCCGGAGACAAGAGAGCCGUUUGUGUUGCAUCAGCCAACCUGUAACUUCGACCGUAGCUGGGCAAUCCGAAGAUCAACUUCUGAGCAGGCAUGCCUUGCGCUAACCAAUAGUCGAGUGACUCAGAUAUAAUAACCGCCUCUUUUCCUUCUUCAAAGCUACGUCGGAAAAGGGGUGCGUGAUGAUCUACUUGGUUUUCCCAAGCCCCAUGUAUGUCUAUGAAGGAAAAGAACAGCCUUCUUUGUGGUGCAUUUCUAAUGGUAUUUAUGCAAGAUCUUAUUAUUACCGUAUGCCAUGAAAUUGACAAAAUCUACUGUGGCGGCUAGCCCUGGAAUAUCAUAGCUGACUUCAGCUCGUUGGAUACUGCAAGAUGGUGCCAUGGUUAACAGUAAGUUGUAUGGUUUGAAAGCAUCCCGAAGCAUAGCGAGGAGUGUAAUAAAGUUCUGUUUGUCUUCAGGUUUUCCCGGAUCUCCAGGAUACUCCCAGUCGAAAUCAAGACCAUCAAAGUUAUACUGAACGGGCAGUUUAACGUUAACGAGUACUUCAAUAUUGCGUAAGUUAUUUUUUUUUUACCUGACGAACAAAAGCAAGAGCUUUUGUUACAAAAUUUCUCAUCUUCACUGGAUCAGAAACUAAUUCUGAAUAUUGAGUAGUAAAUGCCGAGUCAUUCCAGCCACCAAGCGCAAUCAGUGUUUUAAGGUUAGGAUUUCGUUGUUUUAAGGCCGUGAAUUUUUGGUAACCACCAAGAUCAAUGUCUACGUAGGAAUCGUAGACGACCAUUUCGUAGGUCACCUUGUCAAGAACAGCAAACGCAUAGAUCAUGUGCGUGCAUUCAAACGGAUCUAACUUAUCCACGCCGUACUGUCCAGCCCCUAGUUUAAAUGUUAUUGUACGACGUUAAUCACAUCAAUAGGAUCAAGGAUCUCCCGUACACUUACCUGCGCGGUAAUAGGGCCAGUUAGCAAAGUAACAAACUUUUUUGUAGUUCCCCUGUGCGUUCACCAAGGUAACUAUUAAGGUAAGCGCCAAUAAGGCGACGAUUUUCAUCUUUUCAAGUUUUACUCGUUAAAAAAAUGCAAGAAGUUGCCAAGCAAGACCUUUUCUUGACUAAACUGAAAUUGCUCUAAUUUUUAACGGACCGAACAGCUUUAUAGGCAUGCACAGAGGUGGGACUACAACGUGAAGAUUAUAAACAGAGCAGUUCGAUGAAGAAACAUGUUCUUAGUGGUAAUCCUGUUGAGCUGAUAAUGCAUAUGCGUUACAUUUUACGAUCUCACAGAGUUGAUUUCUUUCAGCUGUAUAUCACUUCACUCCUGAUAAUGUUCAGGUACCUGAAUACUAUUGUAAUGGCAUGUUUCUGACUUCACAAAUAUUUGAGUAUAAUGCCUUGC